This 73-nucleotide transfer RNA is filed under the name Haemonchus placei. It matches the Rfam family "tRNA". Rfam says of the family: Transfer RNA (tRNA) molecules are approximately 80 nucleotides in length. The record is from Rfam by way of RNAcentral. Lineage: Eukaryota; Metazoa; Nematoda; Chromadorea; Rhabditida; Trichostrongylidae.
GUCUCGGUAGUGUAAUGGAUAUGAGGACGGGAUCCGCAUAGCGCAAGUACGGGUUCGAGUCCCGUCCGAGACU